Non-coding RNA from Podarcis lilfordi (Lilford's wall lizard), 80 nucleotides. Lineage: Eukaryota; Metazoa; Chordata; Lepidosauria; Squamata; Lacertidae. The record is from the annotation of a GenBank genome assembly.
GGGAAGGCCCCCUAGCUCAGCGGGAGAGUAUCUGCUUUGCAUGCAUAAGGUCCCGGGUUCAAAACCCACCAGCCUCUCCA